Molecule: transfer RNA, 84 nt
Filed under: Hofstenia miamia
Lineage: Eukaryota; Metazoa; Xenacoelomorpha; Acoela; Hofsteniidae
Description: tRNA-Leu for anticodon UAA
Rfam family: tRNA
About the family: Transfer RNA (tRNA) molecules are approximately 80 nucleotides in length. Their secondary structure includes four short double-helical elements and three loops (D, anti-codon, and T loops).
Source: RNAcentral
GGUACUAUGGCCGAGUGUUCUAAGGCGUUGGACUUAAGUUCCAAUAGAGAAUUUUCCGCGUGGGUUCGAAUCCCACAGAUACCA